GUGUGUGUAUGAGGGGCCGCCUGGGACAGAAUUCAUACUUAGUCUUACACACACUAUUAUAAUCUUGCAUAUACACCACUGUACUCAUACACACACACUAUUAAACUCCUUUUACAUAUAAGUAUGAGAGUGUAUAGUAGUGUAUGUGAGAGGGUAUAGUAGUGUAUGUAAGAGGGUAUAGUAGUGUAUGUAAGAGAGUAUAGUAGUGUAUGUAAGAGAGCAUAGUAGUGUAUGUAAGAGAGUAUAGUAGUGUAUGUAAGAGAGUAUAGUAGUGUAUGUAAGAGAGUAUAGUAGUUUAUGUAAGAAGUAUAGUAGUAUGUGUAAGAGAGUAUAGUAGUAUGUGUAAGAGAGUAUAGCAGUAUGUGUAAGAGAGUAUAGUAGUAUGUGUAAGAGAGUAUAGUAGCAUGUGUAAGAGAGUUUGAAUGAAACGGGAGUGAGUUUGAAUGAAACGGAAGUGAGUUUGAAUGAAACGGAAGUGAGUUUGAAUGAAACGGAAGGGUUUCCUCAUUACCAUUUACCUCCACAAACAUAAAGUGUCCGUGGAAAAUAAAGUAAAUAAGAAGAAAUACCACUGACA
This is a long non-coding RNA of Gadus macrocephalus (Pacific cod), 577 nucleotides long. RefSeq lists it as uncharacterized. The record is from RefSeq and is a predicted model, not a curated record. The transcript is spliced from 2 exons. NCBI's taxonomy places the organism in Eukaryota, Metazoa, Chordata, Actinopteri, Gadiformes, Gadidae.